RNAcentral lists this ribosomal RNA (268 nucleotides) under uncultured Staphylococcus sp. RNAcentral describes it as "partial 16S ribosomal RNA". It matches the Rfam family "Bacterial small subunit ribosomal RNA", at positions 91 to 355 of the family's 1533-position model. Lineage: Bacteria; Bacillati; Bacillota; Bacilli; Caryophanales; Staphylococcaceae. The record is from RNAcentral.
ACGUGCGGCGGCGGUAGUAACACGUGGGUAACCUACCUAUAAGACUGGGAUAACUUCGGGAAACCGGAGCUAAUACCGGAUAAUAUUUCGAACCGCAUGGUUCGAUAGUGAAAGGUGGUUUUGCUAUCACUUAUAGAUGGACCCGCGCCGUAUUAGCUAGUUGGUAAGGUAACGGCUUACCAAGGCGACGAUACGUAGCCGACCUGAGAGGGUGAUCGGCCACACUGGAACUGAGACACGGUCCAGACUCCUACGGGAGGCAGCAGUC